Molecule: long non-coding RNA, 567 nt
Organism: Diachasmimorpha longicaudata
Lineage: Eukaryota; Metazoa; Arthropoda; Insecta; Hymenoptera; Braconidae
Exons: 3
Source: RefSeq, a predicted model, not a curated record
UACGACGCGAGCCAUAGUCGGGUGUACGUCGAAUUUGUACGCAACUAACCCCUGACUGAAAGUCGACUCGUCUCAUCAGCCCCGUCAGUCGUCAAUUCAGUACCACUUGUUCGAUUUAAUCGGGGAAACAGUCUAGAGUACAAGUCGAAUAUUAACUUGUCAAAGGAGAUAUAUUUUUUGAAAAUAGAGGUGAACUUGAGUGCAAAGGGCAGGAGUAUCACGUUAGGAUUCCGAGGAUCGAUAAACUAGGAGAAUGUUCAAGAAAGCGCUCACUGAAUCGGGGAAGCGAAUUUUGAAGUUUUAGUUGAAAAAUCGUUUUAAAUUGGGUCACACAAUAAGUUUGAAUCAAGUCGAGCUGGAUCAGGUCAGGAAGCGAGACAGUUCGUGUUUAUAUCGUUUGCAUGAAUCAAGUUUAAGUCUGAGAGAUGCAAUAAAAAAACUGUCAACUCGAAGCAGAGCAGUGAGGAAAUCCCAGCUGGAGCAAAAAAAAUCGCACUACAAUGAGAUAAUGUACGAAGUAUCUCCGGCAGUUGUGCCUGGAUGGUCUGCAACAUAUUUAGAACCUGA